AGUGAGGAAUAUUGGUCAAUGGGCGCAAGCCUGAACCAGCCAUCCCGCGUGCAGGAAGACGGCCCUAUGGGUUGUAAACUGCUUUUCCAGGGGGAGAAACUUCCGUACGUGUACGGAAUUGACGGUACCCUGGGAAUAAGCAUCGGCUAACUCCGUGCCAGCAGCCGCGGUAAUACGGAGGAUGCAAGCGUUAUCCGGAUUCAUUGGGUUUAAAGGGUGCGUAGGCGGACUAUUAAGUCAGUGGUGAAAUCCUGCAGCUUAACUGCAGAACUGCCAUUGAUACUGAUAGUCUUGAGUUUGGUUAAGGUAGGCGGAAUGUGUAAUGUAGCGGUGAAAUGCUUAGAUAUUACACAGAACACCAAUUGCGUAGGCAGCUUACUGAGCCGACACUGACGCUGAGGCACGAAAGCGUGGGGAUCGAACAGGAUUAGAUACCCUGGUAGUCCACGCCGUAAACGAUGAUUACUCGCUGUUGGCGAUACACUGUCAGCGGCUAAGC
Molecule: ribosomal RNA, 499 nt
Filed under: uncultured bacterium
Lineage: Bacteria
Description: bacterial SSU rRNA
Rfam family: Bacterial small subunit ribosomal RNA
Source: RNAcentral